This is a long non-coding RNA of Felis catus (domestic cat), 1578 nucleotides long. RefSeq lists it as uncharacterized. The transcript is spliced from 3 exons. The record is from RefSeq and is a predicted model, not a curated record. Lineage: Eukaryota; Metazoa; Chordata; Mammalia; Carnivora; Felidae.
CCCUCAGUUAUCAGUUUUUAAGAGUCUCUUAUGCUUUGGCUCUCUCCCACUCUAACCUCUUUUUUUUUUUCCUUCCCCUCCUCCAUGGGUUUCUGUAAGUUUCUCAGAGAGUGACUUAAAAUCAAAGUCGGAAUCCCAAGUGGUCAGAGCUGGAUGGUUUCUUAAAACUAUUGUCUUAAGCCAUGUCUUCCCAUGCGUAUGGGGGCCCAGAUCGGCCGAGCCCUUGCAUAGCACCUCCCACCCUGAAGCCUGGCUUAUGCUCUGCUCCAGGAUGCAGGGAGAGGUGCUCUGAGGUCAGACCUCCGGGCUGCAACACUGUUCUGCCCUGAGCCCCACUGUGACCUUGGGCACGCCACUUUCCCUCCACCUGCUGUCCGGGCCCACAUCUGUGAGACGCAAGUGGUAAUGACCAUUCCCACCUCAUGCACCGUUGUGAGGAGCGAGUGGAGCUGAGUGUGAAGAGUGGACGGUGGGGCCUGGUGUAUGGCAAGUGCUCUAGAAGUCUCUGGGUUGUGUGGCCUGCAUCUGCAUAACCAGGGGAGCUGCUCAGUGACAUGCAAGCUUAGUAAGACUUAGUAAGACUGGCUUUGUUCUAAAACAACCUAAGCUGAAGAGCCCCACUUGGGGGGCAGGAGAUGAUGCACUUUGUGGUCAGACCUGUCCGUUUCUGUGGCUUCCAACAAGGUCAUUCUUCUCGGAGACAGCCUUCCCCUUUGCACACAAAGAGGAAGUGAACAUUGUGCCUUGCCCCUUUUAUUUGCAAAGGGUAUGUUCUUAAACAGGUCCCUGCACUUUGAGAUUGUGAUCUUGGGUUCCCCUCCAAACUUGAAAAAGCACACCUCCCCCAGACCUCACCAUCUGGCCCCCAGACAGUGACAUCUGUAAAGCUAGGCUGUCUCAGGAAAUCUCAUUGGUGAAAUGAAUUCAGAUAGGCUGGCUAGGAAUGCUGUCACCAGGACGGGAACGGGGCUGAAGAAGCCUGAACAAAGAAGAUUCCUAAAUGGUCUCCAUCCUCCUGAACUGGGAGGGGGUUAAUGCUGGCCUAGUGCUUCCACUGCUCAUCUGGCCCCGGCAGUCCCCAAGGACUCCAGAGUGACCGGGAGGUGGACACAAAGGCAUUGUUGAGAUGGGGGUGGGGAGGGGAGAAAAUAAGUGAUCGUCACCUUGGAAAAAUGUAGACUCAUUAUCUGAGGGCCUUUAACACCAGCAACCAGUUUGCAGGCCUGGAGGAGGGGCGGGGCUGCAAUCCCUCUGGCCUGAAUGGGAGGGUCAGACAUCAGCCUUGGAAGAAGCGGAUGCCCCUUUCUGUAAACAGGGACUCCGUGAAGAAGUUCACCUUCCUCUCCUCCAGCCUGCCUUUGGCUGCUGUUAGCUGAAGCGGACAGCUGGAGGAGAGAGGCCCCCGUGCUCUGGAGCGGUGGCCCCGAGGAGGCGGCCCAGCCACCAGGGCUACUUCAUUUGAUGGAAGAGAACACCAGAGCCCGGUGUUGGGGGACGGAUGGAGGCUCAGGUCCUGGGUGAGGUGAGUAGGGGGUAGCCUCAACCCAGCUUUUGGCAGGAAGCCUGAGUAACCAGAGA